RNAcentral lists this ribosomal RNA (497 nucleotides) under uncultured bacterium. RNAcentral's name for it is "partial 16S ribosomal RNA". It matches the Rfam family "Bacterial small subunit ribosomal RNA", at positions 28 to 507 of the family's 1533-position model. The record is from RNAcentral.
GACGAACGCUGGCGGCGUGCCUAAUACAUGCAAGUUGAGCGCUGAAGGUUGGUACUUGUACCAACUGGAUGAGCAGCGAACGGGUGAGUAACGCGUGGGGAAUCUGCCUUUGAGCGGGGGACAACAUUUGGAAACGAAUGCUAAUACCGCAUAAAAACUUUAAACACAAGUUUUAAGUUUGAAAGAUGCAAUUGCAUCACUCAAAGAUGAUCCCGCGUUGUAUUAGCUAGUUGGUGAGGUAGAGGCUCACCAAGGCGAUGAUACAUAGCCGACCUGAGAGGGUGAUCGGCCACAUUGGGACUGAGACACGGCCCAAACUCCUACGGGAGGCAGCAGUAGGGAAUCUUCGGCAAUGGACGAAAGUCUGACCGAGCAACGCCGCGUGAGUGAAGAAGGUUUUCGGAUCGUAAAACUCUGUUGGUAGAGAAGAACGUUGGUGAGAGUGGAAAGCUCAUCAAGUGACGGUAACUACCCAGAAAGGGACGGCUAACUACGUG